GGGCGUUUAACUCAGUUGGUUUAGAGUGUCACCUUGACAGGGUGGAAGUCACUGGUUCGAGUCCAGUAACGCCCA
This 75-nucleotide transfer RNA is filed under the name Bacteroidota bacterium. RNAcentral describes it as "tRNA-Val". It matches the Rfam family "tRNA". Rfam says of the family: Transfer RNA (tRNA) molecules are approximately 80 nucleotides in length. RNAcentral also lists the same sequence under 1 other name. The record is from RNAcentral. Lineage: Bacteria; Pseudomonadati; Bacteroidota.